This 380-nucleotide unclassified non-coding RNA is filed under the name uncultured bacterium. Its description in RNAcentral is "contains 16S-23S intergenic spacer region". The record is from RNAcentral.
UCCGGUUUGGCACCGGCAGUCUCCUACGAGUCCCCGGCAUAAUCCGCUGGCAACAUAGGAUAGGGGUUGCGCUCGUUGCGGGACUCAACCCAACACCUCACGGCACGAGCUGACGACAGCCAUGCAGCACCUGAGCAGGAUGGUAUUGCUACCUCGUUGGGCUUUCACCCUUCUACUACCUGCAUGUCCAGCCUGGGUAAGGUUCUUCGCGUUGCGUCGAAUUAAACCACAUGCUCCACCGCUUGUGCGGGCCCCCGUCAAUUCCUUUGAGUUUCAGCCUUGCGACUGUACUCCCCAGGCGGCAUAUUUAACGCGUUAGCUCCGGCACGGACAGAAUGAACUGCCCACACCUAGUGCCCAUCGUUUAGGGCGUGGACUAC